This 413-nucleotide ribosomal RNA is filed under the name Salmonella enterica subsp. enterica serovar Typhimurium. Its description in RNAcentral is "bacterial SSU rRNA". It matches the Rfam family "Bacterial small subunit ribosomal RNA", at positions 10 to 419 of the family's 1533-position model. Lineage: Bacteria; Pseudomonadati; Pseudomonadota; Gammaproteobacteria; Enterobacterales; Enterobacteriaceae. The record is from RNAcentral.
AGUUUGAUCAUGGCUCAGAUUGAACGCUGGCGGCAGGCCUAACACAUGCAAGUCGAACGGUAACAGGAAGCAGCUUGCUGCUUCGCUGACGAGUGGCGGACGGGUGAGUAAUGUCUGGGAAACUGCCUGAUGGAGGGGGAUAACUACUGGAAACGGUGGCUAAUACCGCAUAACGUCGCAAGACCAAAGAGGGGGACCUUCGGGCCUCUUGCCAUCAGAUGUGCCCAGAUGGGAUUAGCUUGUUGGUGAGGUAACGGCUCACCAAGGCGACGAUCCCUAGCUGGUCUGAGAGGAUGACCAGCCACACUGGAACUGAGACACGGUCCAGACUCCUACGGGAGGCAGCAGUGGGGAAUAUUGCACAAUGGGCGCAAGCCUGAUGCAGCCAUGCCGCGUGUAUGAAGAAGGCCUUC